RNAcentral lists this ribosomal RNA (253 nucleotides) under uncultured bacterium. RNAcentral's name for it is "partial 16S ribosomal RNA". It matches the Rfam family "Bacterial small subunit ribosomal RNA", at positions 524 to 776 of the family's 1533-position model. The record is from RNAcentral.
UACGGGGGGGGCAAGCGUUGUUCGGAAUUACUGGGCGUAAAGGGCUCGUAGGCGGCCAACUAAGUCAGACGUGAAAUCCCUCGGCUUAACCGGGGAACUGCAUCUGAUACUGGAUGGCUUGAGUUCGGGAGAGGGAUGCGGAAUUCCAGGUGUAGCGGUGAAAUGCGUAGAUAUUGGGAGGAACACCAGUGGCGAAGGCGGCUCACUGGACUGGUACUGACGCUGAUGCGCGAAAGCGUGGGGAGCAAACAGG